GUCUAUGGCCAUACCACCCUGAACGCGCCUGAUCUCGUCUGAUCUCGGAAGCUAAGCAGGAUUGGGCCUGGUUAGUACUUGGAUGGGAAACACUUAGUAGGUGAAGCACAGGAACGUAGAAA
This 122-nucleotide ribosomal RNA is filed under the name Mustela putorius furo (domestic ferret). Lineage: Eukaryota; Metazoa; Chordata; Mammalia; Carnivora; Mustelidae. The record is from RNAcentral.